UGCACAGCCGGCUUUAAUGGCAUUUUCCAGUUGCAAAAAGGGCGUCAAAAUGUAGCAUCAGAGGAUAGCAGAGGGGCAUAUAAGCGGGUUGCUGCUGCUACUGUACAUCACUGUCCGCCUGUUAACCACUGGAAAACAAGACAUGCUACAAAAAUGGACAAGAGUCGAGAGUUCAUCUCCAGAUGUAGCAACGGAUCCCCUAUUUUUUGUGUGAGUGGAAGUGGGGCAUAGAGCCUGGGCGGAGGGCUGGGAGGAGAGAUGGCUGACGGGGAGGCAUGCUGACUGGAGGAGUGCCAGCCGCUCUCACCCAGGAUCCUUGGGCCACUCCACCAGGCCUACCAUCACAAAUCUUGGGAUAAAGAUGGACCCUGAACUCA
Molecule: long non-coding RNA, 377 nt
Organism: Notothenia coriiceps (black rockcod)
Lineage: Eukaryota; Metazoa; Chordata; Actinopteri; Perciformes; Nototheniidae
Exons: 4
Source: RefSeq, a predicted model, not a curated record